ACCCGCUGAAUUUAAGCAUAUAAGUGAGUGGAGGACGAUAAACUAAACAUGCAUUCCUAAGUAAUGGCGAAUGAACAGGAAGUUGCACAUCGUGGAAUACAGCGCUUCUUGCUCUGGCUUGCAUUCGCAAGAUGUACUAGCAACAGAGGUGCAGGUGUGAGCCUUUUGGAAUGGAGCAAUGACAAGGGUGAGAAUCCCAUCUUGGCGUCUGCAACCUUCCCGGUGCAUGGUAUACAUUCUCAGAGUCACGCUCUUUGGGCCUUGAGCGCGAAGCGGGUGGUAGGAUUCACACAAAGCUUUACAUCGGCCUGAAACCGAUAGCAAACAAGUACCAUGAGGGGAAGGUGAACAAGGACUUUGGAAAGAAAGUUAAAUGUGCUUGAACUUGUUGAAAGGAAAGUGGUUGCAAUCUAUGUGACUUGGUGAGAUUGUUGUGCAUGGGAGAUGUUAUUGUCAGCUUGUCCAAAUGUCGUGAUGGGCUCACCAACCGGCUGUGCACAAUGUUCCUCUCCUGACCAUUGCCAGCCACAACUGGCCCACGUGUGGUGAAACAAACAGGGGGUGGUAGUUUACCCCAGGGUAGAUGGGUGUGCCCUGUCGUACCCGCACAGAGCUAUCAGCGGCAACAUGGUUACCACCAGCCCGUCUUGAAACACGGACCAAGGAGUCUAAUGCACAUGCAAGUUUCUGGGCACAUGCACGCCUGGUUGCGCAAUGAAAGUAUAUGCUUGGAUAUCUGCACAAGCAACUGACCAAUCAAUUGAGUGCGGUUUGAGUGCGAGCAUGCCUGUUAGGCCCCGAAAGAUGGCGAACUAUGCCUGUGCAGGGCAAACCCAGAGGAAACUCUGAUGGAGGCCCGCAGCGAUACUGACGUGCAAAUCGUUCGCCGCACAUGGGUAUAGGGGCGAAAGACUAAUCGAGCUCGCUGCCUUUGACCUACUUCCAAACUUUAAAUGGGUAAGCAUCAGUGGCUACUUGGGUGAGCUUCUGGAACACAUGGAAACUUUAAGUGGACCAUUUUUGGUAAGCAGAACUGGUGAUGAGGGAUGAACCUAAUGUUGGGUUAAGGCGCUUCAUUGCUCGCUCAUCAGAUACCAUAAAGGGUGUUGGUUCAUUUAGACAGCAGGACAGUGGUCAUGGAAGUCGAAAUCUGCUAAGGAGUGUGUAACAACUCACCUGUCGAAUGGACUAGCCCCGAAAAUGGAUGGCGCUCAAGCGGGUUGCUGAUUCCCAACCAUUGGUACAACUGUGUUGCGCCGAUGUGUAGGAGGGCAUGUGGGGUGUGUGUUGUGAAGCCUCUGAUGGAAGGCUGGGUGGAAUCGUCUCGGGUGCAGAUCUUGGUGGUAGUAGC
Molecule: ribosomal RNA, 1351 nt
Filed under: Protoperidinium sp.
Lineage: Eukaryota; Dinophyceae; Peridiniales; Protoperidiniaceae
Description: partial large subunit ribosomal RNA
Rfam family: Eukaryotic large subunit ribosomal RNA
Source: RNAcentral